This 1284-nucleotide ribosomal RNA is filed under the name Coccomyces fanjingshanensis. RNAcentral describes it as "SSU rRNA". The stretch from base 218 to 1284 matches the Rfam family "Bacterial small subunit ribosomal RNA", at positions 1 to 1203 of the family's 1533-position model. Lineage: Eukaryota; Fungi; Ascomycota; Leotiomycetes; Rhytismatales; Rhytismataceae. The record is from RNAcentral.
AGGGCAAGGCGUGACAGCAUUUGGGAGAUGUAUAGUCCUCUUAUGAGGCUAGUUAUCUGGAAAGUAGUUAGUAAUGAGAAUAGAAAGGUGCCGUCCUACUAAGGAUUGAACGCUAUAUAUAUUCUGUAAGGGUGAUGACCUUCUAUAUUAUCUAAAGCAGGAUGACUUUUGUAUAAUAUGUGAAGAGAUAACCUAUGUAAUGGUGUUAUUAUUAUGAUUAUUAUUAAUUAUAAUAGUUAUUUAUAGAAUAUUAGAGAGAUAAGACCGACUACGUUGGAUAAAAUUCAAGAUAAAAGACUGAUAAUGACAAUUUUUUAUUUAAGUGUCUUGACUAAAUUACGUGCCAGCAGUCGCGGUAAUACGUAGAAGACUAGUGUUAUUCAUCUUUAAUAGGUUUAAAGGGUACCUAGACGGCACUAUUUACCCUCACAAGAGGGCAAGGUUUUGCUAGAGUUUUAUAUGAGAAGGGGAGUACUUGUAGAGUAGAGUUGAAAUGCUGUCAUACUAUGAGGACUGACAAUGGCGAAAGCGACCUUUUAUCUAAAAACUGACGUUGAGGGACGAAGGCUUGGGUAGCGAAUAGGAUUAGAUACCCUAGUAGUCCUUGCUGUAAAUGAUGAAUGUCAUAGACUAGAUAUUUAUUUGGUUUAUAAAUGAAAGUGUAAGCAUUCCACCUCAUGAGUAAUGUGGCAACGCAGGAACUGAAAUCAUUAGACCGUUUCUGAGAACAGUAGUGAAGUAUGUUAUUUAAUUCGAUGACCCACGUAAAACCUUACCACAACUUGAAUGUCAAACGUGAAUAAGGAAGUAAAAAUAAAGCCAACUAACCAUUGGAUGCAUGCUUGAUAACACACCUUUUUUUUUAGCGUUUACGCUCGUUUACGCUCGUUUACGCUAAAGAAAAAAGUGUAAUGCAAGAGAGAGCCUUAGGUAGUUAGCCAGGGAAAUGUUGCAAUACAUUUCAAUGUCAAAUUAGACAUGGGUAACCUGUUAAUGUUGAAAUACAUUACGUUUACGUGUAGCCUAAAAAACUACAUUUACCUGGAAGAUGUUGAAAUACAUUUAAAUGUAGAAAUACAUUUGACACGGUUGAUACACGCGUUGCACGGUUGUCUUUAGCUAAUGUCGUGAGAUUUUGGUUAGCUCCAUAAAAUUAGCGUAAACCCCGGUUCUAUUUAAAAAAAUUAAUAAUACAAUAAUAUUAUUAUUGUGAUAGAGCAGUUCAUCACUAUAUUGAAUACAUAAAGAGAUAACAGGGACGAUGACAAAAUCCAUCCAGGGCCU